This 1391-nucleotide ribosomal RNA is filed under the name Verrucaria hydrophila. RNAcentral describes it as "eukaryotic LSU rRNA". The stretch from base 873 to 1391 matches the Rfam family "Eukaryotic large subunit ribosomal RNA", at positions 1 to 522 of the family's 3401-position model. The record is from RNAcentral. Lineage: Eukaryota; Fungi; Ascomycota; Eurotiomycetes; Verrucariales; Verrucariaceae.
AGAGGAAGUAAAAGUCGUAACAAGGUUUCCGUAGAUAUCCUUCUUUGAAGCCUUCUGCACAACGACUAUAACCAUGUGCACAGUCCCUGCAGGCAAGGGGGCAACGUCACCUAUGUGCUGGAAUCCACUUCUGUGGGAACCAACAGCCGGGUAUACACCUAUUAGGUUAUAUCUGGUCUACAGAUUAGGCGGUGGCGGUCAGUAUAUCUCUCUUUUGCGUGAUAAUGAUGCAAUAAUUUAUUGGUUAUAAGAUAUAGCUCUCUAGGUUAUUGAUCCAGCACUAUUGCAAGAAGGGCAGGUACUGAUUAAGAUAUAAUCGGUCGCUAUUACCAGUAUAAAUAGCUGAGAAACGUUCCGUAGGUGAACCUGCGGAAGGAUCAUUAUCGAGUUAGGGUCCUCUGGGCCCCACCUCCAACCCUUGCCUAAAUUACCAUGUUGCUUUGGCGGGCCCGUCUUUAAGCGGACCGCCGGGGACUUGCUCCCUGGCCCGCGCCCGUCAGUAGCCCCAACUAAAUCCUUGAACACUGAUGUCUAAAUACAAAUUAUAAUAACUAAAACUUUCAACAACGGAUCUCUUGGUUCUGGCAUCGAUGAAGAACGCAGCGAAAUGCGAUAAGUAAUGCGAAUUGCAGAAUUCCGUGAGUCAUCGAAUCUUUGAACGCACAUUGCGCCCUUUGGUAUUCCGAAGGGCAUGCCUGUUCGAGCGUCAUUAUCAACCCUCAAGCCCGGCUUGCUGUUGGGUCUCACCGCCAGCGAUGACGGUGGACCCCAAAGAUAAUGGCAGAGUCUUGUGGACCCUGGAUGCAGCGAGCUCUUCAGCACGCGUCUCGGCGGUUUUCGGGCUCGGUCGAAACCAAUUUAUUUUACCAGGUUGACCUCGGAUCAGGUAGGGAUACCCGCUGAACUUAAGCAUAUCAAUAAGCGGAGGAAAAGAAACCAACUGGGAUUGCCUCAGUAACGGCGAGUGAAGCGGCAACAGCUCAAAUUUGAAAUCUGGCUCCUCUGGGGGUCCGAGUUGUAAUUUGUAGAGGAUGCUUCGGGCAAGGCGGUGGUCUAAUUUGCUUGGAACAGCGAGUCAGAGAGGGUGAGAAUCCCGUCUAGGAUCGCCAGCCGCGUCCAUGUGAAGCUCCUUCGACGAGUCGAGUUGUUUGGGAAUGCAGCUCUAAAUGGGUGGUAAAUUUCAUCUAAAGCUAAAUAUUGGCCAAGAGACCGAUAGCGCACAAGUAGAGUGAUCGAAAGAUGAAAAGCACUUUGAAAAGAGAGUUAAACAGUAUGUGAAAUUGUUGAAAGGGAAGCGCUUGCAACCAGACUUGCGUGUAACGGUUCCCCCGGCCUUCUGGCCGGGUUACUCCGUUAUCUCCAGGCCAGCAUCGGUUUGGGUGGUCGGUAAA